UAAGUUGGUAGUGAAAGCGUGGGGCUCAACCUCAUAAACAUUAUCAAAACUACUUUGACUAGAGAAUGAGAGAGGUCGCUGGAAUUUCUUGUGUAGGAGUGAAAUCCGUAGAUAUAAGAAGGAACACCGAUGGCAUAGGCAGGCGACUGGCUCAUUUCUGACGCUCAGGCACGAAAGCGUGGGGAGCGACCGGGAUUAGAUACCCCGUUAGUCCACGCCGUAAACGAUGGAUGCUA
This 236-nucleotide ribosomal RNA is filed under the name uncultured Candidatus Saccharibacteria bacterium. RNAcentral's name for it is "partial 16S ribosomal RNA". It matches the Rfam family "Bacterial small subunit ribosomal RNA", at positions 584 to 818 of the family's 1533-position model. The record is from RNAcentral. Lineage: Bacteria; Candidatus Saccharimonadota.